Molecule: ribosomal RNA, 334 nt
Filed under: uncultured bacterium
Lineage: Bacteria
Description: bacterial SSU rRNA
Rfam family: Bacterial small subunit ribosomal RNA
Source: RNAcentral
CGUGUAGGCGGUUUGUUAAGUCUGGCGUGAAAGCUCUCGGCUAAACCGGGAGAGGUCGUUGGAUACUGGCGAACUAGAGGAUGGUAGAGGCGUGUGGAAUUCCGGGUGUAGUGGUGAAAUGCGUAGAGAUCCGGAGGAACACCAGUGGCGAAGGCGACACGCUGGGCCAUACCUGACGCUAAAGCGCGACAGCAUGGGGAGCAAACGGGAUUAGAAACCCCGGUAGUCCAUGCCGUAAACGAUGCCAGCUAGAUGUUCACGUCGCGCAAGCGAUUGGGGUAUCGAAGCAAACGCGAUAAGCUGGCCGCCUGGGGAGUACGGUCGCAAGGCUAAA